This is a non-coding RNA of Pongo abelii (Sumatran orangutan), 90 nucleotides long. The record is from Rfam. Lineage: Eukaryota; Metazoa; Chordata; Mammalia; Primates; Hominidae.
CCUUCGAUAGCUCAGUUGGUAGAGCGGAGGACUGUAGUGUAUGGAGCUGUGGUAAUCCUUAGGUCGCUGGUUCGAUUCCGGCUCGAAGGA